Molecule: ribosomal RNA, 452 nt
Filed under: uncultured bacterium
Lineage: Bacteria
Description: bacterial SSU rRNA
Rfam family: Bacterial small subunit ribosomal RNA
Source: RNAcentral
GACGAACGCUGGCGGCGUGCUUAAUACAUGCAAGUCAACGACUUUUAGAGUAGCAAUAUUUUAAAGGAAGUGGCGCACGGGUGAGUAACACGUAGGUAAUCUGCCUUCAGGACUGACACAACUCGUCGAAAGACGGGCUAAUAUCAGAUAAUGCAGCGGCUCCGCAUGGAGACAGUUGUUAAAGUACAAGCGCCUGAAGAUGAGCCUGCGGUCCAUUAGCUAGUUGGUAGAGUAACAGCCUACCAAGGCAACGAUGGAUAGCUGGUCUGAGAGGAUGAUCAGCCACACUGGAACUGAGACACGGUCCAGACUCCUACGGGAGGCAGCAGUAAGGAAUAUUGCUCAAUGGCCGAAAGGCUGAAGCAGCAACGCCGCGUGAAGGAUGAAUGGCUUUGGCCUGUAAACUUCUGUAAAAGGGAAAACAGUACAGGUAUAUCCUGAUUGAUUGUACC